GCCUCAGUAGUAUAAAAAUUACAUUGGUCUUGUAAACCAAAUAUGGAGUACUAAUCUAGUCCAAACA
This 67-nucleotide transfer RNA is filed under the name Geocapromys brownii (Jamaician hutia). Its description in RNAcentral is "tRNA-Thr". The record is from RNAcentral. Lineage: Eukaryota; Metazoa; Chordata; Mammalia; Rodentia; Capromyidae.